ACGUAGGGUGCGAGCGUUAAUCGGAAUUACUGGGCGUAAAGGGUGCGCAGGCGGCGCCAUAAGACAGCUGUGAAAUCCCCGGGCUUAACCUGGGAACUGCGGUUGUGACUGUGGUGCUUGAGUGCGGCAGAGGGGGGUGGAAUUCCACGUGUAGCAGUGAAAUGCGUAGAGAUGUGGAGGAACACCGAUGGCGAAGGCAGCCCCCUGGGUCGACACUGACGCUCAUGCACGAAAGCGUGGGGAGCAAACAG
RNAcentral lists this ribosomal RNA (251 nucleotides) under uncultured prokaryote. RNAcentral's name for it is "partial 16S rRNA". It matches the Rfam family "Bacterial small subunit ribosomal RNA", at positions 525 to 775 of the family's 1533-position model. The record is from RNAcentral.